UCCGUAGGUGAACNUGCGGAAGGAUCAUUA
This 30-nucleotide ribosomal RNA is filed under the name Aspergillus fumigatus. RNAcentral describes it as "partial 18S ribosomal RNA". Lineage: Eukaryota; Fungi; Ascomycota; Eurotiomycetes; Eurotiales; Aspergillaceae. The record is from RNAcentral.